RNAcentral lists this long non-coding RNA (370 nucleotides) under Lathyrus oleraceus (garden pea). RNAcentral's name for it is "Pisum sativum (pea) long non-coding RNA (PSAT_LNC040743)". The record is from RNAcentral. Lineage: Eukaryota; Viridiplantae; Streptophyta; Magnoliopsida; Fabales; Fabaceae.
UGAUCUUUUUUUUCAACAUCCUGAAUAUAGGUUCGCACGUGGCUGUUAGAUGAGAUGUGAACCAUGACAGGUAGUUCAAUCUUUCUAAGAAACCACGAACCUCUCUUUUUCUUUCUCGGUUCAGGCGUUUCUCUUAUUGUUCUUUUUCUUUUCUUUUCUUUUAUUUUUUUUUUUUUUUUUUUUUUGCAGGAUGAACCUCGAUUCCUCCCUUACAAUGAACCCCAAUCAUCUUACCGGACCGCACUCUGAUAGUGCACUUAUCUGAAUUCAACCUCAGUUUGAAUUAUCUCCACCGGUCAAACGACUUGGCCAGAUCUGGCAGAUGCCCCUCUUCUGUUUGGGACUUUGCUAUCAUGUCAUAGCAUAACAU